Molecule: ribosomal RNA, 253 nt
Filed under: uncultured bacterium
Lineage: Bacteria
Description: partial 16S ribosomal RNA
Rfam family: Bacterial small subunit ribosomal RNA
Source: RNAcentral
UACGUAGGGGCCGAGCGUUGUCCGGAGUUAUUGGGCGUAAAGCGCGCGCAGGCGGCCUCGCGCGCCCGACGUGAAAGCCCCCGGCUUAACCGGGGAGGGUCGUUGGGGACGGCGGGGCUUGAGGGCGGGAGAGGUCGGUGGAAUUCCCGGUGUAGUGGUGAAAUGCGUAGAGAUCGGGAGGAACACCUGUGGCGAAGGCGGCCGACUGGGCCGACCCUGACGCUGAGGCGCGAAAGCCAGGGGAGCGAACGGG